RNAcentral lists this ribosomal RNA (408 nucleotides) under uncultured bacterium. RNAcentral describes it as "partial 16S ribosomal RNA". It matches the Rfam family "Bacterial small subunit ribosomal RNA", at positions 28 to 526 of the family's 1533-position model. The record is from RNAcentral.
GACGAACGCUGGCGGCGUGCUUAACACAUGCAAGUCGAAGAUCGUGGCGAAGGGGUGAGUAAUACGUGGUUACCCUGCCCUCCUUUUUGGGAUAAGCCUUGGAAACGGGGUCUAAUACCGCAUAAAGGGGGAUGGGCUCGCGGCCUAUCAGCUUGUUGGUGGGGUGCUGGCCUACCAAGGCGUUGACGGGUAGCCGGCCUGAGAGGGCGAACGGCCACAUUGGGACUGCGAUACCGCCCAGACGACUACGGGAGGGAGCAGUGGGGGAUAUUGCACAAUGGGCGAAAGCCUGAUGCCGCGACGCUGCGUGGGGGCUGAAGGUUUUCGUGUUGUAACACUCGUGAGCUAUCGAACGGGUAGGGGCAGAAGAAGCGCCGGCUAACUACGUGCCAGCAGCCGCGGUAAUUC